GUGGGGAAUAUUGCACAAUGGGCGAAAGCCUGAUGCAGCAACGCCGCGUGAAGGACGAAGUAUUUCGGUAUGUAAACUUCUAUCAGCAGGGAAGAUAACGACGGUACCUGACUAAGAAGCCCCGGCUAACUACGUGCCAGCAGCCGCGGUAAUACGUAGGGGGCAAGCGUUAUCCGGAUUUACUGGGUGUAAAGGGAGCGUAGGCGGCAGCGCAAGUCAGAAGUGAAAGCCCGGGGCUUAACUCCGGGACUGCUUUUGAAACUGUGCGGCUAGAUUUCAGGAGAGGUAAGCGGAAUUCCUAGUGUAGCGGUGAAAUGCGUAGAUAUUAGGAGGAACACCAGUGGCGAAGGCGGCUUACUGGACUGACAAUGACGCUGAGGCUCGAAAGCGUGGGGAGCAAACAGGA
Molecule: ribosomal RNA, 406 nt
Filed under: uncultured bacterium
Lineage: Bacteria
Description: bacterial SSU rRNA
Rfam family: Bacterial small subunit ribosomal RNA
Source: RNAcentral